CCUCUAAGGGCCAAGCACUUGCAGAUGAUAUUGGCAUUAAAAUUCUUUGAAACUAGUGCAAAGACAAAUCUUAAUGUUGAGCAAGUCUUCUUUUCAAUAGCUAGGGAUAUAAAGCAAAGGCUCGCUGACACUGACUCCAGGGCAGAGCAGCCUCAAACUAUCAAAAUCAAUCAACCGGAGCAGGGGCUGCAGGUGGUCAACUUGCGCAAAAAUUAGCUUGCUGCGGUUCUUAUUAAUG
This is a long non-coding RNA of Camellia sinensis, 238 nucleotides long. RefSeq lists it as uncharacterized. The record is from RefSeq and is a predicted model, not a curated record. Lineage: Eukaryota; Viridiplantae; Streptophyta; Magnoliopsida; Ericales; Theaceae.